GACGAACGCUGGCGGCGUGCUUAACACAUGCAAGUCGAACGGAAAGGCCCUGCUUGCAGGGUACUCGAGUGGCGAACGGGUGAGUAACACGUGGGUGAUCUGCCCUGCACUUCGGGAUAAGCUUGGGAAACUGGGUCUAAUACCGGAUAGGAGCCAUCUUUAGUGUGGUGGUUGGAAAGUUUUUUCGGUGUAGGAUGAGCUCGCGGCCUAUCAGCUUGUUGGUGGGGUAAUGGCCUACCAAGGCGGCGACGGGUAGCCGGCCUGAGAGGGUGUACGGCCACAUUGGGACUGAGAUACGGCCCAGACUCCUACGGGAGGCAGCAGUGGGGAAUAUUGCACAAUGGGCCCAAGCCUGAUGCAGCGACGCCGCGUGGGGGAUGAAGGCCUUCGGGUUGUAAACUCCUUUCGCUAGGGACGAAGCUUUUUGUGACGGUACCUAGAUAAGAAGCACCGGCUAACUACGUG
Molecule: ribosomal RNA, 465 nt
Filed under: uncultured bacterium
Lineage: Bacteria
Description: partial 16S ribosomal RNA
Rfam family: Bacterial small subunit ribosomal RNA
Source: RNAcentral